AUGGAGGCGCUCAAUCCAGCAGCUUUGUCCAAGGAUGUGCUCGGCAGUCGAGAGAUGCCACGCCUGGGCAGGAAUACCGCGGAGCUCGAGCUCGACGCUGUAUUCGAACUCGCCGUAGCCGGCAUGAGCGAGCUUACUCCAAGGGCGAAUCGAAAGGGAGAAGCGGGGAGAUCGGAUGAAGUGGUCGUCAUUGAGACGGUCCCUGGUGGCCUGAGAGCUGAAGAGGAUCAGGAAAUCCAUCAGGCUAUUUGGUCUGUUAUGCCUGUAUUGGAUUACAUUAUCUAUGAAGCCCGGAGAAAUCAUAUUAGGUUGAUUCUUUGCCUUGUCAACAACCUUGAUAACUUUGGAGGGAAGGCCCAAUAUGUUAAGUGGGCACAAGCAGCUGGAGCUAACUUGACGAAUUCAACUGAUUCUUUUUUCUAUGACCCAACCGUUAAGGGUUACUACAAGGAUUAUGUGAAGGCAAUAUUAACUAGAAGGAACUCUUACAGUGGAAUCAGAUACUCUGAUGAACCUGCUAUUUUUGCUUGGGAACUCAUGAAUGAGCCUAGGUGUGUGUCCAACUCAUCUGGUCCUCAUCUUCAGGCUUGGAUAGCAGAGAUGGCAGCGUAUGUCAAGAGUCUGGACGCUAAACAUCUUGUUGCAGUAGGAAUUGAAGGGUUUUAUGGCACUGGAAUAGCUGAGAGGCUGGGUUUUAAUCCUGGGGACUGGGCAGCUUCACUCUGCUCAGACUUCAUACAGAACUCGGCAGUUGAGAAUAUUGAUUUUGCAUCGGUGCAUGCUUACCCUGACAGCUGGCUACCAAAGGCAAGCAUGGAAGAAAAACUCAGAUACCUUUCCAGUUGGGUUGAUUCACACCUUAAUGACAGCGAACACAUCUUGAAAAAACCUGUUCUGUUCUCAGAAGUAGGUUACCUGCAGCAUGUAGAGGGCAACAGCACAGUUGAUAGAGAUAUUCUUCUAAGAGUUGUUUACGACAAAAUCUAUGAUUCAGCGAGGAAGCUUCAGGCAGGCGGGGGUGCUCUUAUUUGGCAGUUGAUGGUCGAAGGAACACACAUGUACCACGACGACUUCUCCCUGGUGGCACGCGAUCAUCCCUCGACUUAUAAGUUGAUAACGGAGCAGUCUUGUCGAUUGCAAAUGCUGUACGAGAAUGAUAGAGACCCUGACUGGCAAUGUGCGAUACAGCCCUAG
This 1194-nucleotide ribosomal RNA is filed under the name Triticum aestivum (bread wheat). RNAcentral describes it as "partial small subunit ribosomal RNA". Lineage: Eukaryota; Viridiplantae; Streptophyta; Magnoliopsida; Poales; Poaceae. The record is from RNAcentral.